Aedes albopictus (Asian tiger mosquito) is the source of this 58-nucleotide non-coding RNA. NCBI's taxonomy places the organism in Eukaryota, Metazoa, Arthropoda, Insecta, Diptera, Culicidae. The record is from Rfam.
UAGCCUAGUGGUUAAGGCCAUGGAUCGCCAAUCCGGAGACGACGGGUUCGAUUCCCGU